This 1578-nucleotide ribosomal RNA is filed under the name Lacticaseibacillus paracasei. RNAcentral describes it as "bacterial SSU rRNA". It matches the Rfam family "Bacterial small subunit ribosomal RNA". Lineage: Bacteria; Bacillati; Bacillota; Bacilli; Lactobacillales; Lactobacillaceae. The record is from RNAcentral.
UUUAUAUGAGAGUUUGAUCCUGGCUCAGGAUGAACGCUGGCGGCGUGCCUAAUACAUGCAAGUCGAACGAGUUCUCGUUGAUGAUCGGUGCUUGCACCGAGAUUCAACAUGGAACGAGUGGCGGACGGGUGAGUAACACGUGGGUAACCUGCCCUUAAGUGGGGGAUAACAUUUGGAAACAGAUGCUAAUACCGCAUAGAUCCAAGAACCGCAUGGUUCUUGGCUGAAAGAUGGCGUAAGCUAUCGCUUUUGGAUGGACCCGCGGCGUAUUAGCUAGUUGGUGAGGUAAUGGCUCACCAAGGCGAUGAUACGUAGCCGAACUGAGAGGUUGAUCGGCCACAUUGGGACUGAGACACGGCCCAAACUCCUACGGGAGGCAGCAGUAGGGAAUCUUCCACAAUGGACGCAAGUCUGAUGGAGCAACGCCGCGUGAGUGAAGAAGGCUUUCGGGUCGUAAAACUCUGUUGUUGGAGAAGAAUGGUCGGCAGAGUAACUGUUGUCGGCGUGACGGUAUCCAACCAGAAAGCCACGGCUAACUACGUGCCAGCAGCCGCGGUAAUACGUAGGUGGCAAGCGUUAUCCGGAUUUAUUGGGCGUAAAGCGAGCGCAGGCGGUUUUUUAAGUCUGAUGUGAAAGCCCUCGGCUUAACCGAGGAAGCGCAUCGGAAACUGGGAAACUUGAGUGCAGAAGAGGACAGUGGAACUCCAUGUGUAGCGGUGAAAUGCGUAGAUAUAUGGAAGAACACCAGUGGCGAAGGCGGCUGUCUGGUCUGUAACUGACGCUGAGGCUCGAAAGCAUGGGUAGCGAACAGGAUUAGAUACCCUGGUAGUCCAUGCCGUAAACGAUGAAUGCUAGGUGUUGGAGGGUUUCCGCCCUUCAGUGCCGCAGCUAACGCAUUAAGCAUUCCGCCUGGGGAGUACGACCGCAAGGUUGAAACUCAAAGGAAUUGACGGGGCCCGCACAAGCGGUGGAGCAUGUGGUUUAAUUCGAAGCAACGCGAAGAACCUUACCAGGUCUUGACAUCUUUUGAUCACCUGAGAGAUCAGGUUUCCCCUUCGGGGGCAAAAUGACAGGUGGUGCAUGGUUGUCGUCAGCUCGUGUCGUGAGAUGUUGGGUUAAGUCCCGCAACGAGCGCAACCCUUAUGACUAGUUGCCAGCAUUUAGUUGGGCACUCUAGUAAGACUGCCGGUGACAAACCGGAGGAAGGUGGGGAUGACGUCAAAUCAUCAUGCCCCUUAUGACCUGGGCUACACACGUGCUACAAUGGAUGGUACAACGAGUUGCGAGACCGCGAGGUCAAGCUAAUCUCUUAAAGCCAUUCUCAGUUCGGACUGUAGGCUGCAACUCGCCUACACGAAGUCGGAAUCGCUAGUAAUCGCGGAUCAGCACGCCGCGGUGAAUACGUUCCCGGGCCUUGUACACACCGCCCGUCACACCAUGAGAGUUUGUAACACCCGAAGCCGGUGGCGUAACCCUUUUAGGGAGCGAGCCGUCUAAGGUGGGACAAAUGAUUAGGGUGAAGUCGUAACAAGGUAGCCGUAGGAGAACCUGCGGCUGGAUCACCUCCUUUCUAAGGAA